Molecule: long non-coding RNA, 211 nt
Organism: Suricata suricatta (meerkat)
Lineage: Eukaryota; Metazoa; Chordata; Mammalia; Carnivora; Herpestidae
Exons: 2
Source: RefSeq, a predicted model, not a curated record
GCAAAGAUAAAAAGACUCCUGAUGGACACCAAUGCUUCCAUUGAAAGCCUUUAUCAGAAAAUUGAUGAAGUUUGGAUAGCCCAGAAAGAGCAAAGGAAGAAGCUUUAUCACGACUAUUCUCAGCGGUUCCUAACUUUGUAUCAAGAGUGCAAUGUGAAUGUGCAGAAAGUCAAGAAAGAAGAAGAAAUACUAACUGUUGGUAUCAAGCUUA